Molecule: ribosomal RNA, 376 nt
Filed under: Monochamus obtusus
Lineage: Eukaryota; Metazoa; Arthropoda; Insecta; Coleoptera; Cerambycidae
Description: partial 12S ribosomal RNA
Source: RNAcentral
ACUAGGAUUAGAUACCCUAUUAUUAUAAAUGUAAAAUUAAACUAGAUUAGUAUUAGUUAUGUUCUUGAAAAUUAAAAAUUUUGGCGGUUUUUUAGUCUAUUCAGAGGAACCUGUUCUGUAAAUGAUAGUCCACGAUUUAAAUGUCCUUUAUUAAUAGUUUGUAUAUCGUCGUAGUUUGAAUAUUUUAAAAGAAUUUAAAUAUUCAAAAUUUAUUUAAAUAAAAAAUAUCAGAUCAAGGUAUAGCUUAUAUAAAGGUAGAAAUGGGUUACAUUAAUUUUAAUUUUGGAUUAUUAAUUUAAAAUUAAUAUGAAAAAGGAUUUGAUAGUAAUUUUUAAAAAUUUUAAUAAUGAUUUUAGCUCUAAAAAAUGCACAUAUC